CAUGGGGUUUGCGAAACGCCCCGUGAGGCGACAGCCCAAGGAUCGCGUCCAUUUACCUUAUUUUGAAGGAGGACGCAGUAUG
This 82-nucleotide non-coding RNA is filed under the name uncultured Sneathiella sp. RNAcentral describes it as "chrB-a RNA". It matches the Rfam family "chrB-a RNA". The record is from RNAcentral. Lineage: Bacteria; Pseudomonadati; Pseudomonadota; Alphaproteobacteria; Sneathiellales; Sneathiellaceae.